RNAcentral lists this ribosomal RNA (497 nucleotides) under uncultured bacterium. RNAcentral describes it as "partial 16S ribosomal RNA". It matches the Rfam family "Bacterial small subunit ribosomal RNA", at positions 28 to 507 of the family's 1533-position model. The record is from RNAcentral.
GAUGAACGCUGGCGGCGUGCCUAAUACAUGCAAGUCGAGCGAACGGACGAGAAGCUUGCUUCUCUGAUGUUAGCGGCGGACGGGUGAGUAACACGUGGAUAACCUACCUAUAAGACUGGGAUAACUUCGGGAAACCGGAGCUAAUACCGGAUAAUAUUUUGAACCGCAUGGUUCAAUAGUGAAAGACGGUCUUGCUGUCACUUAUAGAUGGAUCCGCGCUGCAUUAGCUAGUUGGUAAGGUAACGGCUUACCAAGGCAACGAUGCAUAGCCGACCUGAGAGGGUGGACGGCCACACUGGAACUGAGACACGGUCCAGACUCCUACGGGAAGCAACAGUAGGGAAUCUUCCGCAAAGGGCGAAAGCCUGACGGAGCAAAGCCGCGUGAGUGAUGAAGGUCUUCGGAUCGUAAAACUCUGUUAAUAGGGAAGAACAUAUGUGUAAGUAACUGUGCACAUCUUGAAGGUACCUAAUCAAAAAGCCACGGCUAACUACGUG